This 253-nucleotide ribosomal RNA is filed under the name uncultured bacterium. RNAcentral's name for it is "partial 16S ribosomal RNA". It matches the Rfam family "Bacterial small subunit ribosomal RNA", at positions 524 to 776 of the family's 1533-position model. The record is from RNAcentral.
UACGUAGGGGGCAAGCGUUGUCCGGAUUUAUUGGGCGUAAAGAGCGUGUAGGCGGCCAGGUAGGUCUGCUGUGAAAACUCGAGGCUCAACCUCGAGAUGUCGGCGGAAACCCUCUGGCUAGAGUCCGGAAGAGGAGAGUGGAAUUCCCGGUGUAGCGGUGAAAUGCGCAGAUAUCGGGAAGAACACCCGUGGCGAAGGCGGUUCUCUGGGCCUUACCUGACGCUGAGGAGCGAAAGCGUGGGGAGCGAACAGG